RNAcentral lists this ribosomal RNA (600 nucleotides) under Hypholoma capnoides. RNAcentral's name for it is "eukaryotic LSU rRNA". It matches the Rfam family "Eukaryotic large subunit ribosomal RNA", at positions 1 to 600 of the family's 3401-position model. The record is from RNAcentral. Lineage: Eukaryota; Fungi; Basidiomycota; Agaricomycetes; Agaricales; Strophariaceae.
UUGACCUCAAAUCAGGUAGGACUACCCGCUGAACUUAAGCAUAUCAAUAAGCGGAGGAAAAGAAACUAACAAGGAUUCCCCUAGUAACUGCGAGUGAAGCGGGAAAAGCUCAAAUUUAAAAUCUGGCGGUCUUUGGCCGUCCGAGUUGUAAUCUAGAGAAGUGUUAUCCGCGCUGGACCGUGUACAAGUCUCCUGGAAUGGAGCGUCAUAGAGGGUGAGAAUCCCGUCUUUGACACGGACUGCCAGGGCUUUGUGAUGCGCUCUCAAAGAGUCGAGUUGUUUGGGAAUGCAGCUCAAAAUGGGUGGUAAAUUCCAUCUAAAGCUAAAUAUUGGCGAGAGACCGAUAGCGAACAAGUACCGUGAGGGAAAGAUGAAAAGAACUUUGGAAAGAGAGUUAAACAGUACGUGAAAUUGCUGAAAGGGAAACGCUUGAAGUCAGUCGCAUUGUGUGGGAAUCAACCUUGCUUUUGCUGGGCGUACUYUCCAUAUGAUGGGUCAGCAUCAAUUUUGACCGUUGGAUAAAGUUCAAGGGAAUGUGGCAUCUUCGGAUGUGUUAUAGCCUUUGGUCGCAUACAACGAUUGGGAUUGAGGAACUCAGCA